RNAcentral lists this ribosomal RNA (957 nucleotides) under Bacillus sp. MI14. RNAcentral describes it as "bacterial SSU rRNA". It matches the Rfam family "Bacterial small subunit ribosomal RNA", at positions 70 to 1006 of the family's 1533-position model. Lineage: Bacteria; Bacillati; Bacillota; Bacilli; Caryophanales; Bacillaceae. The record is from RNAcentral.
UAAUGGGAGCUUGCUCCCAGAGGUUAGCGGCGAACGGGUGAGUAACACGUGGGCAACCUGCCCUGUAGACUGGGAUAACAUCGAGAAAUCGGUGCUAAUACCGGAUAAUAAUAGGAACUGCAUAGUUCCCAUUUAAAAGAUGGCUCCGGCUAUCACUACAGGAUGGGCCCGCGACGCAUUAGCUAGUUGGUAAGGUAACGGCUUACCAAGGCGACGAUGCGUAGCCGACCUGAGAGGGUGAUCGGCCACACUGGGACUGAGACACGGCCCAGACUCCUACGGGAGGCAGCAGUAGGGAAUCUUCCGCAAUGGACGAAAGUCUGACGGAGCAACGCCGCGUGAGUGAUGAAGGGUUUCGGCUCGUAAAGCUCUGUUGUUAGGGAAGAACAAGUGCCGUUCAAAUAGGGCGGCACCUUGACGGUACCUAACCAGAAAGCCACGGCUAACUACGUGCCAGCAGCCGCGGUAAUACGUAGGUGGCAAGCGUUGUCCGGAAUUAUUGGGCGUAAAGCGCGCGCAGGCGGUCUUUUAAGUCUGAUGUGAAAUCUCGGGGCUCAACCCCGAGCGGUCAUUGGAAACUGGGAGACUUGAGUACAGAAGAGGAGAGUGGAAUUCCACGUGUAGCGGUGAAAUGCGUAGAUAUGUGGAGGAACACCAGUGGCGAAGGCGACUCUCUGGUCUGUAACUGACGCUGAGGCGCGAAAGCGUGGGGAGCAAACAGGAUUAGAUACCCUGGUAGUCCACGCCGUAAACGAUGAGUGCUAGGUGUUAGGGGUUUCGAUGCCCUUAGUGCCGAAGUUAACACAUUAAGCACUCCGCCUGGGGAGUACGACCGCAAGGUUGAAACUCAAAGGAAUUGACGGGGGCCGCGCACAAGCAGUGGAGCAUGUGGUUUAAUUCGAAGCAGACGCGAAGAAACCUUACCAGGUCUUGACAUCCUUAUGACCUCCCUAGAGA